This 489-nucleotide ribosomal RNA is filed under the name uncultured bacterium. RNAcentral's name for it is "partial 16S ribosomal RNA". It matches the Rfam family "Bacterial small subunit ribosomal RNA", at positions 30 to 507 of the family's 1533-position model. The record is from RNAcentral.
AUUGAACGCUGGCGGCAGGCCUAACACAUGCAAGUCGAACGGUAACAGGAAGCAGCUUGCUGCUUUGCUGACGAGUGGCGGACGGGUGAGUAAUGUCUGGGAAACUGCCCGAUGGAGGGGGAUAACUACUGGAAACGGUAGCUAAUACCGCAUAACGUCGCAAGACCAAAGAGGGGGACCUUAGGGCCUCUUGCAAUCGGAUGUGCCCAGAUGGGAUUAGCUAGUAGGUGGGGUAACGGCUCACCUAGGCGACGAUCCCUAGCUGGUCUGAGAGGAUGACCAGCCACACUGGAACUGAGACACGGUCCAGACUCCUACGGGAGGCAGCAGUGGGGAAUAUUGCACAAUGGGCGCAAGCCUGAUGCAGCCAGGCCGCGUGUAUGAAGAAGGCCUUCGGGUUGUAAAGUACUUUCAGCGGGGAGGAAGGGAGUAAGUUAAUACCUUUGCUCAUUGACGUUACCCGCAGAAGAAGCACCGGCUAACUCCGUG